This 245-nucleotide unclassified non-coding RNA is filed under the name fungal sp. RNAcentral describes it as "partial internal transcribed spacer region". The stretch from base 1 to 46 matches the Rfam family "Eukaryotic small subunit ribosomal RNA", at positions 1786 to 1831 of the family's 1831-position model. Lineage: Eukaryota; Fungi. The record is from RNAcentral.
AAGUCGUAACAAGGUUUCCGUAGGUGAACCUGCGGAAGGAUCAUUAACAAUUCCAUUCUAAAUCAACCUUUGUGAACCGACCUCUAGCUGGGUUGAGACUCUGGUCUCUUAAAAGUCCUGCCGAGGGAAAGUGUCAACAGCGAGUCCUUGUGGCUAACUGUCGACACUUACAUAGACUAUUUUGUAUGACUAAAAAGUAUUAUUUUAAACAAAUACAACUUUUAACAGUGGAUCUCUUGGCUCCU